AUGCUCUCAGGAAGAACGCAGCCAAAACGAGCAGAAGAAACUAAUCCAGGCAGUGCAGGAAGGAGGGAUCAGAUGACAAGGGGAUUCCAGUACGUCUGCCCCGGAGGGGAGCAGAAGAGUCCCUGCAGCAGAGCCUGUGCUUCAGUUCCUCCGGAAAGGCUGGACUUGCAGCAUUUGCAGUGUCAUGUUAAAACGUUGCAAGCGUUGCAGUUGACAAAAAAGCAUUGCCCCAAGAGGCAGAGCACCGUCUCCCAGAUAAAAUACAGUAACUCGAUCCAGCAUCCCUGUGGGUAUGCCACAUCAGCAGGCAUGGACGUACUGGGUACUCCCAGGUUAACGUGUUUGUGGAAGGCAACUGAUGUAUAUAGCGAAAAGACCAGAUCAAGGCCUCUAUGUAACUGCGUCCUCUCCCAAUGGCGGAACGUUGUUGCUCUUAGCUUUCAAAGACUCCAAGUCCUCUGGUUUGGCCUCAACCUUCUCUUCAAUGAAUUAACAUCGUUGUUACCCCCGAGCAUGCACCCAGUGCAGCCUCAGCGUUAG
This 540-nucleotide long non-coding RNA is filed under the name Struthio camelus australis. RNAcentral's name for it is "lncRNA (ENSSCUG00000019061.1)". Lineage: Eukaryota; Metazoa; Chordata; Aves; Struthioniformes; Struthionidae. The record is from RNAcentral.